Sphaeramia orbicularis (orbiculate cardinalfish) is the source of this 930-nucleotide long non-coding RNA. RefSeq lists it as uncharacterized. Lineage: Eukaryota; Metazoa; Chordata; Actinopteri; Kurtiformes; Apogonidae. The record is from RefSeq and is a predicted model, not a curated record. The transcript is spliced from 2 exons.
ACUAAGCACUUUGAUCAAACUAAAAGACAUAAGAUGGGGCCUGCAGUGUAGGAAAUACUGCAAAUAAAACGGUUAAUCAUUGCAGCAUUAAAUAAACUAUUAAUAAUUAAGUGUACACAGUUAAAAAAAAUAAGAAGCUAAGACAAUGAAGACCAAAAAUGUCAAGAGAUGAUAUAAAAUGUAGCAGGAAGAUCAGUAUUAUUAUAGAUAUUAUAGUAUAUUCACUAUGGCAGAUAUAUAGAUUUAUGAGGGCUGUCAAAAUGAACCCUUGUUAACGCAGAUUAAUCCAUCAUCAUGAUUAAUCUGAUUAAAAAUUUUAACGCAAUUUAAGUCAUCUGAAGCGCAAAAUAACUGAACGUCUCUGGCAAUGCAUUUGGGUCAGUUUGUCCCAGUAGAGUUAGCGUUAACACACAUGAAUAAAUGGUCAGCUGAUCCAGUAGUGACAGGCAGCAGAACCAACCCAUAAAGAUGGAAGAUGAUAAACAGCACGUUGACCCUCUGGAUGGAAAUAUGAGAACAAAAAAACAAAAAAGAUGGAACAGUCAACCGAUUUAAAGUAUUCUACACACUCUGCACACUGGAAAAAAUGUCGGUUUUUAUUUCUAUUACAUUAUGACACACAGUGGCUUUGCGCUGUUUCAUGUUCAGACUUUUCUUUGGUUUUAUCGUCCCUCAUGGGCAGGUUUUAUUUCAGGUGUUUCAUAAAGGAUUAUAUGGAUUUUCAUAUAAAACAGAUGAUUACGCCUUCACAAGGAACAAAAUGCAGUAGAUUUAGAAAAUAAAACGUCUCAUUCCAGUGGAGAAAACAGCGCAGCAUUAAUAAUAAAGCUUUAAAGUGAAGCACAGCUGGUAGUUUUAGAGCUGGAAAUAAUGUCACUGCGGGAAAAAAAUGUUUGAAACUGGAGCGAAAUUAAAAAAAAAAAAAAUUAC